This 1154-nucleotide long non-coding RNA is filed under the name Marmota monax (woodchuck). The record is from RNAcentral. Lineage: Eukaryota; Metazoa; Chordata; Mammalia; Rodentia; Sciuridae.
GGAAGAAAACAGUAGAUUGGCUUCUAGUUCCUUCUGCUAACAAGUGGCUGUGUGAUUUUCAGCAAGUUACUAGACUCUGCUGGACCUCAGCGAGGUGAUUAAACCAAGUGACCUCCGAGGUCCAGUUCCACUGUGACUCUCUAGGACUUUGCACUUUCUUCCUAAACAAACACUGAAGAUUCAUGAGUGAAAUUAACUCCCAGUCAGUUGAAUAAUUGAUCAUUAGCAAAGGUGUAACUGCUGUAAAUAUAGAUGGUUAAGUUAAGGUAAAUAUUAUAACAUAGCUAUGAACGAAUCCUUCCCUGAAUUAGCAGAAACUUGAGUUAAUAAAUAGUUGGCUACAGCAUUUGGGUCAUGAUCUCUGGCUAAAAUAUCCUGGUGUCAGCUGAUUCUGGGCUUUUUAUAUGCUUCUAUUUUUAAACCCAUAAUGGGACUGUACAGUCCUAGUGGGGUAUAUGCCAAAGUGGGGGGUGAGGAAGAAAAAGAAACAUGAUUGUUUCUCUUUAUAAAACUGUAAAGAAAUCUGAAGUGGUUUUCAGUAAAUAUCUUACUUUAUUUUAUAUGCACUUUAUUUCUAGAGCAGUUUCCAGUUCACAGAAGAACUAAGCAGAAAGUACUGAGAGUUCCCAUAAACCAUACCCCUCACUCUGUCCUGGCCUUAAGUACUAUCAACAUCCUGCACCAGAGCAGUACAUUUAUCACAAUCAACAAAACCUACACUGGCUCACUAUAUCACCCGGAGUCCACAGUUUACAUUAAGGCUACCUGGGGUGUAGUACAAUUUAUGGUUUUGGACAAAUGUGUAAUGACAUGUAUCCAUUAUUAUAAUAUCAUAUGGAAUAUGAUAUCUGUGUUCUGCUAUUCAUUCCUGCCCCUCCUGUAACCCCUGGCGACCAGUGAUCCUUUUACCAUUGCCAUAGGUUUGCCUUUUCCAGAAUGUUACAUGGUUGGAAUCAUACAGCAUGUACCUUUUGCAGAUUGGCCUCACUUGGCAAUAUACAAUCAACAUUCUUCCCUGUUUUUAAAAAUUUAUUUGUUCUUUUUAGUUAUACAUGACUAUCUGAUAGAGUAUAUGUGUAUAUUUUGACAUACGUAUACACACAUGGAGUACAUCUUAUUCUAAUUAGGAUCCCAGCCUGGUGGUUGCACAUGAU